Molecule: ribosomal RNA, 2881 nt
Filed under: Xanthomonas vasicola
Lineage: Bacteria; Pseudomonadati; Pseudomonadota; Gammaproteobacteria; Lysobacterales; Lysobacteraceae
Also listed under: 1 other name
Description: 23S ribosomal RNA
Rfam family: Bacterial large subunit ribosomal RNA
Source: RNAcentral
GGUCAAGCGAAUAAGCGCACACGGUGGAUGCCUAGGCGGUCAGAGGCGAUGAAGGACGUGGUAGCCUGCGAAAAGUGUCGGGGAGCUGGCAACAAGCUUUGAUCCGGCAAUAUCCGAAUGGGGAAACCCACUGCUUCGGCAGUAUCCUGCAGUGAAUUCAUAGCUGCUGGAAGCAAACCCGGUGAACUGAAAUAUCUAAGUAACCGGAGGAAAAGAAAUCAACCGAGAUUCCCUAAGUAGUGACGAGCGAACGGGGAGCAGCCCUUAAGCUGGAAUGGCUUUAGAAAAACAAUCUGGAAAGAUUGGCCAUAGAAGGUGAUAGCCCUGUAUUUAAAAGGGCCACUCCAGUGAAGACGAGUAGGGCGGGGCACGUGAAACCCUGUCUGAAUAUGGGGGGACCAUCCUCCAAGGCUAAAUACUCCUGACCGACCGAUAGUGAACCAGUACCGUGAGGGAAAGGCGAAAAGAACCCCGGAGAGGGGAGUGAAAUAGAUCCUGAAACCGUGUGCGUACAAGCAGUAGGAGCUCGCAAGAGUGACUGCGUACCUUUUGUAUAAUGGGUCAGCGACUUACUGUUCGUGGCAAGCUUAACCGUAUAGGGGAGGCGAAGGGAAACCGAGUCUGAUAAGGGCGCAUAGUCGCGGGCAGUAGACCCGAAACCGGGUGAUCUAGUCAUGGCCAGGGUGAAGGUGCCGUAACAGGUACUGGAGGCCCGAACCCACGUCUGUUGCAAAAGACGGGGAUGAGCUGUGAUUAGGAGUGAAAAGCUAAUCGAACCCGGAGAUAGCUGGUUCUCCUCGAAAGCUAUUUAGGUAGCGCCUCGGACGAAUACUACUGGGGGUAGAGCACUGUUAUGGCUAGGGGGUCAUCGCGACUUACCAAACCAUUGCAAACUCCGAAUACCAGUACGUACUAUCCGGGAGACACACGGCGGGUGCUAACGUCCGUCGUGAAAAGGGAAACAACCCAGACCCACAGCUAAGGUCCCAAAUUCACUGCUAAGUGGAAAACGAUGUGGAAAGGCAUAGACAGCCAGGAGGUUGGCUUAGAAGCAGCCACCCUUUAAAGAAAGCGUAAUAGCUCACUGGUCGAGUCGGUCUGCGCGGAAGAUUUAACGGGGCUAAGCAGUGAACCGAAGCUUGGGGUGCAUAAAACUUGUUUUAUGCGCGGUAGAGGAGCGUUCCGUAAGCCUGCGAAGGUGGAUUGAGAAGUCUGCUGGAGGUAUCGGAAGUGCGAAUGCUGACAUGAGUAACGAUAAUGCGGGUGAAAAGCCCGCACGCCGAAAGCCCAAGGUUUCCUUGCGCAACGUUAAUCGACGCAGGGUUAGUCGGUCCCUAAGGCGAGGGCGAAAGCCGUAGUCGAUGGGAAGCAGGUUAAUAUUCCUGCACCUCGCGUGAGUGCGAUGGAGGGACGGAGAAGGUUAGGUGUACCGGGCGUUGGUUGUCCCGGGGAAAGGCGGUAGGUUUGGAUCUUUGGCAAAUCCGGGAUCCUUUAAGACCGAGCACCGAGACGAGCCUUUAUGGCGAAGUCACUGAUACCACGCUUCCAGGAAAAGCUCCUAAGCUUCAGCUCACGAAGACCGUACCGUAAACCGACACAGGUGGGUAGGAUGAGAAUUCUCAGGCGCUUGAGAGAACUCGGGUGAAGGAACUAGGCAACAUGGCACCGUAACUUCGGGAGAAGGUGCACCCUUUUUGGUGGCUCAUGCGAGCUAUAGCUGAAGAGGGUCGCAGAAACCAGGCCGCUGCGACUGUUUAUCAAAAACACAGCACUCUGCAAACACGAAAGUGGACGUAUAGGGUGUGACGCCUGCCCGGUGCUGGAAGGUUAAUUGAUGGGGUCAGCCGCAAGGCGAAGCUCUUGAUCGAAGCCCCAGUAAACGGCGGCCGUAACUAUAACGGUCCUAAGGUAGCGAAAUUCCUUGUCGGGUAAGUUCCGACCUGCACGAAUGGCGUAACGACAGCGGCGCUGUCUCCACCCGAGACUCAGUGAAAUUGAAAUCGCUGUGAAGAUGCAGCGUUCCCGUGGCAAGACGGAAAGACCCCGUGAACCUUUACUAUAGCUUUACACUGAACGUUGAGUUCGUCUGUGUAGGAUAGGUGGGAGGCUAUGAAACUGUGGCGCUAGCUGCAGUGGAGCCAUCCUUGAAAUACCACCCUGUCGUGCUUGACGUUCUAACCUAGGUCCGUUAUCCGGAUCAGGGACCGUGUAUGGUGGGUAGUUUGACUGGGGCGGUCUCCUCCUAAAGAGUAACGGAGGAGCACGAAGGUACGCUCAGCGCGGUCGGACAUCGCGCACUGUGUGCAAAGGCAUAAGCGUGCUUGACUGCAAGAUCGACGGAUCAAGCAGGUACGAAAGUAGGUCUUAGUGAUCCGGUGGUUCUGUAUGGAAGGGCCAUCGCUCAACGGAUAAAAGGUACUCCGGGGAUAACAGGCUGAUACCGCCCAAGAGUUCAUAUCGACGGCGGUGUUUGGCACCUCGAUGUCGGCUCAUCACAUCCUGGGGCUGUAGUCGGUCCCAAGGGUAUGGCUGUUCGCCAUUUAAAGUGGUACGCGAGCUGGGUUCAGAACGUCGUGAGACAGUUCGGUCCCUAUCUGCCAUGGGCGUUGGAAGUUUGAGAGGGGCUGCUCCUAGUACGAGAGGACCGGAGUGGACGAACCUCUGGUGUUCCGGUUGUCACGCCAGUGGCAUUGCCGGGUAGCUAUGUUCGGAAGCGAUAACCGCUGAAAGCAUCUAAGCGGGAAGCGCGCCUCAAGAUGAGACUUCCCGGGGCACAAGCCCCCUAAAGGAACCAUGUAGACUACGUGGUUGAUAGGUCAGGUGUGUAAGUACAGCAAUGUAUUGAGCUAACUGAUACUAAUGAUCCGUGCGGCUUGACCAU